Molecule: ribosomal RNA, 253 nt
Filed under: uncultured bacterium
Lineage: Bacteria
Description: partial 16S ribosomal RNA
Rfam family: Bacterial small subunit ribosomal RNA
Source: RNAcentral
GACGAACCGUGCGAACGUUGUUCGGAAUCACUGGGCUUAAAGGGCGCGUAGGCGGGCGGGCAAGUCAGGGGUGAAAUCCCACGGCUCAACCGUGGAAGUGCCUUUGAUACUGCCGGUCUGGAGGGAGGUAGGGGCGUGCGGAACUUCCGGUGGAGCGGUGAAAUGCGUAGAUAUCGGAAGGAACACCGGUGGCGAAAGCGGCGCGCUGGACCGCUACUGACGCUGAGGCGCGAAAGCCAGGGGAGCAAACGGG